UACGGAGGGUGCAAGCGUUGUUCGGAAUUAUUGGGCGUAAAGGGCAGGUAGGUGGUCUUGAAAGUCUGCUGUGAAAUCCCCGGGCUUAACUCGGGAAGUGCGGCAGAUACUCCAAGACUAGAGUACUGGAGGGGUUCGUGGAAUUCCCGGUGUAGCGGUGAAAUGCGUAGAUAUCGGGCGGAACACCAGGGGCGCAGGCGGCUUCCUGGCAAGGCACUGACGCUGAGGCACGAAAGCGUGGGGAGCAAACGGG
This 253-nucleotide ribosomal RNA is filed under the name uncultured bacterium. Its description in RNAcentral is "partial 16S ribosomal RNA". It matches the Rfam family "Bacterial small subunit ribosomal RNA", at positions 524 to 776 of the family's 1533-position model. The record is from RNAcentral.